AGAGUUUGAUCCUGGCUCAGAUUGAACGCUGGCGGCAUGCUUUACACAUGCAAGUCGGACGGCAGCACAGAGAAGCUUGCUUCUUGGGUGGCGAGUGGCGAACGGGUGAGUAACAUAUCGGAACGUACCGAGCAGUGGGGGAUAACUAAUCGAAAGAUUAGCUAAUACCGCAUAUUUUCUGAGGAAGAAAGCAGGGGACCAUUUGGCCUUGCGCUGUUUGAGCGGCCGAUAUCUGAUUAGCUAGUUGGUGGGGUAAAGGCCUACCAAGGCGACGAUCAGUAGCGGGUCUGAGAGGAUGAUCCGCCACACUGGGACUGAGACACGGCCCAGACUCCUACGGGAGGCAGCAGUGGGGAAUUUUGGACAAUGGGCGCAAGCCUGAUCCAGCCAUGCCGCGUGUCUGAAGAAGGCCUUCGGGUUGUAAAGGACUUUUGUCAGGGAAGAAAAGGGCGGGGUUAAUACCCCUGUCUGAUGACGGUACCUGAAGAAUAAGCACCGGCUAACUACGUGCCAGCAGCCGCGGUAAUACGUAGGGUGCGAGCGUUAAUCGGAAUUACUGGGCGUAAAGCGGGCGCAGACGGUUACUUAAGCAGGAUGUGAAAUCCCCGGGCUCAACCUGGGAACUGCGUUCUGAACUGGGUGACUAGAGUGUGUCAGAGGGAGGUAGAAUUCCACGUGUAGCAGUGAAAUGCGUAGAGAUGUGGAGGAAUACCGAUGGCGAAGGCAGCCUCCUGGGAUAACACUGACGUUCAUGCCCGAAAGCGUGGGUAGCAAACAGGAUUAGAUACCCUGGUAGUCCACGCCCUAAACGAUGUCGAUUAGCUGUUGGGCAGCAUGACUGCUUAGUAGCGAAGCUAACGCGUGAAAUCGACCGCCUGGGGAGUACGGUCGCAAGAUUAAAACUCAAAGGAAUUGACGGGGACCCGCACAAGCGGUGGAUGAUGUGGAUUAAUUCGAUGCAACGCGAAGAACCUUACCUGGUCUUGACAUGUACGGAACCCUCCAGAGACGGAGGGGUGCCUUCGGGAGCCGUAACACAGGUGCUGCAUGGCUGUCGUCAGCUCGUGUCGUGAGAUGUUGGGUUAA
RNAcentral lists this ribosomal RNA (1086 nucleotides) under Rothia mucilaginosa. Its description in RNAcentral is "bacterial SSU rRNA". It matches the Rfam family "Bacterial small subunit ribosomal RNA", at positions 8 to 1083 of the family's 1533-position model. The record is from RNAcentral. Lineage: Bacteria; Bacillati; Actinomycetota; Actinomycetes; Micrococcales; Micrococcaceae.